This 218-nucleotide ribosomal RNA is filed under the name uncultured fungus. RNAcentral's name for it is "partial small subunit ribosomal RNA". The stretch from base 50 to 218 matches the Rfam family "Eukaryotic small subunit ribosomal RNA", at positions 694 to 864 of the family's 1831-position model. The record is from RNAcentral. Lineage: Eukaryota; Fungi.
GACCUGGUUGAUCGGUUUGAGCGUUAAGUUCAACACUGGUCUGGCUGGGUCUUUCCUUCUGGGGAACUAGUGUGCUAUUUAUUUAGUGCGCUAGGGAUCCAGGACUGUUACUUUGAAAAAAUUAGAGUGUUUAAAGCAGGCUAACGCUUGAAUACAUUAGCAUGGAAUAAUGAAAUAGGACGUUUGAUCCUAUUUUGUUGGUUUCUAGGAUUGACGUA